Molecule: non-coding RNA, 369 nt
Organism: Nerophis lumbriciformis (worm pipefish)
Lineage: Eukaryota; Metazoa; Chordata; Actinopteri; Syngnathiformes; Syngnathidae
Source: RefSeq, a predicted model, not a curated record
GCCAACUUUGUGGAUGGGGUGAGGGCGAUCGUCAAGAACAUUGGACAGAACAAGCUCUGGGAAAACUACAGCCUAAAAGGGAUGAACGGCAAACUGCCAUUGAAAGACCUCUCCAUAUGCAGGGUCAUAGUCAAAGCAUGCCAGAUGACAUUCAAGUCUGUCAAAACCCAAGAGGUCCAUGACGAGCUAACGGAGGUGCUGAAGUAUGCCCCCCACAGGCGCGGAGGAUCCAAGCACAAGGCUGGCAAAAGGAAGCGAGACGAGAAUGAUCAUGCGUGAAAUUUCGAAUGGCACUCGCCUAGCUAGAUCAAGUUUAAUUAUAGACUAAUACACCAAAUUAUAGCUUUAUCUGUUUACGCUGUAUCAACA